UGGGAAGAAGCUUAACUUGAGGGAAACUGCCGCGAGGUUAUAACUUUAAUAAAGGAAAACUUAUAUUAAUAAUAUCAAUUGUGAGAUUGAAUUAUCUUUAUAUUUUUAUUAUUUUUAAAAUUAAAUUAAAUAGUUAAUCAUACUUAAUUUAAGAGUAGUUUGUAUGCUAAUUGUUAAAAAAAACAAUAGUUAUAUAUUGUAAUUAGUCUUUUAUUUAAAAACACCUUUGUUAAGCUAAUUAGUAUCAGUUAACUCAUUUAAGUAACAUCU
Molecule: ribosomal RNA, 270 nt
Filed under: Tricholoma gausapatum
Lineage: Eukaryota; Fungi; Basidiomycota; Agaricomycetes; Agaricales; Tricholomataceae
Description: partial small subunit ribosomal RNA
Source: RNAcentral